This 397-nucleotide ribosomal RNA is filed under the name uncultured bacterium. RNAcentral's name for it is "partial 16S ribosomal RNA". It matches the Rfam family "Bacterial small subunit ribosomal RNA", at positions 523 to 918 of the family's 1533-position model. The record is from RNAcentral.
AUACGUAGGUGGCGAGCGUUGUCCGGAAUUACUGGGCGUAAAGGAUGCGUAGGUGGAUAUUUAAGUGGGAUGUGAAAUCCCCGGGCUCAACCCGGGAACUGCAUUCCAAACUGGGUAUCUAGAGUGCAGGAGAGGAAAGCGGAAUUCCUAGUGUAGCGGUGAAAUGCGUAGAUAUUAGGAGGAACACCAGUGGCGAAGGCGGUUUUCGGGACUGUAACUGACACUGAGGCAUGAAAGCGUGGGUAGCAAACAGGAUUAGAUACCCUGGUAGUCCACGCCGUAAACGAUGGGUACUAGGUGUAGGAGGUAUCGACCCCUUCUGUGCCGUCGUUAACACAAUAAGUACCCCGCCUGGGGAGUACGGUCGCAAGACUAAAACUCAAAGGAGUUGACGGGG